GACAUUCGCAUACGCAUACCGUAGACAGUAGGUGCCUGAAGAGGCUUAAUUUCCUACCGAGGUGUUAUGAUAAACGUUUGAAGCUGCGGGUUUUCGGACUUUCGCAAGUGGAACGGACCAUCAUGGCCUUCGCUAAUGUCGCGGAGGCCUUUUCUCAUGCACCG
Paenibacillus beijingensis is the source of this 164-nucleotide regulatory RNA element. It matches the Rfam family "Ribosomal protein L10 leader". Rfam says of the family: This family is a putative r-protein leader autoregulatory structure found in B. subtilis and other low-GC Gram-positive bacteria. Lineage: Bacteria; Bacillati; Bacillota; Bacilli; Caryophanales; Paenibacillaceae. The record is from Rfam.